UACGUAGGUGGCAAGCGUUGUCCGGAAUUAUUGGGCGUAAAGCGCGCGCAGGUGGUUUAAUAAGUCUGAUGCGAAAGCCCACGGCUCAACCGUGGAGGGUCAUUGGAAACUGUUAAACUUGAGUGCAGGAGAGAAAAGUGGAAUUCCUAGUGUAGCGGUGAAAUGCGUAGAGAUUAGGAGGAACACCAGUGGCGAAGGCGGCUCUCUGGCCUGCACCUGACGCUGAGGCGCGAAAGCGUGGGGAGCAAACAGG
This 253-nucleotide ribosomal RNA is filed under the name uncultured bacterium. RNAcentral describes it as "partial 16S ribosomal RNA". It matches the Rfam family "Bacterial small subunit ribosomal RNA", at positions 524 to 776 of the family's 1533-position model. The record is from RNAcentral.